Molecule: small nuclear RNA, 163 nt
Filed under: Dasypus novemcinctus (nine-banded armadillo)
Lineage: Eukaryota; Metazoa; Chordata; Mammalia; Cingulata; Dasypodidae
Description: U1 spliceosomal RNA (ENSDNOG00000029001.1)
Rfam family: U1 spliceosomal RNA
About the family: U1 is a small nuclear RNA (snRNA) component of the spliceosome (involved in pre-mRNA splicing).
Source: RNAcentral
AUACUUACCUGGCAGGAGAGAUACCAUGAUCCUGAAGGAGGUUUUUCAGGGCAAGGCUUAUCCAUUGCACCCCAAAUGUGCUGACCCCUGAGAUUUUCCCAACUGCAAGAAACUCUACUGCAUAAUUUGUGGUAGUAGGGAACUGUGCUGAUACUCUUUUGUA